Non-coding RNA from Dipodomys ordii (Ord's kangaroo rat), 65 nucleotides. The record is from Rfam. Lineage: Eukaryota; Metazoa; Chordata; Mammalia; Rodentia; Heteromyidae.
GGUGGCUCAGUGGUAGAGCGCUUGCCUUGCAUGCAUGAAGCCCUAGGUUCAAUUCCUCAGCACCA